Tachysurus vachellii is the source of this 629-nucleotide long non-coding RNA. RefSeq lists it as uncharacterized. Lineage: Eukaryota; Metazoa; Chordata; Actinopteri; Siluriformes; Bagridae. The transcript has 3 exons. The record is from RefSeq and is a predicted model, not a curated record.
GGUGAAAUGAACCUCCCCGAUAUGUCCGAACAACCGAGUCCUUGGCCAUCUUCAAAGGACAGAGCUUGACAUCUUGAAAGGUCUUCCAGAGAGAUGGUAAAAAGAAAAGACAUGCAAUAUGGACAAUGGAAGGAGAAAUCCUUCAGAAACAGGAGGCUAAUGAACCAGUGGUUAUUGGAAGAACAUUUCCAGUAUGUGUCCAGGUUGUGGGAAACCAACAGAUUGUAACCUCUCUCAGCUUUUCAUUGCCUCUCCUAACCCUGGAUACUCACAGGAAGCCAAUGGAGCCAAGAAGUACACUUAACCACCGAAAGAAUCUCCACACAUCCUUGCCUGAUGUAUCAAAUUUAGCGUAACCUUGUCAUGAUUCAGCUUCCCUACAGGGGGCACUGAGUUAUGCAGAGACCCUGUUUAUCCGCAACAUAACAGCAGCUGAGCUUGUGUGUGGUCAGAAGAGAUAUAAAUGCUCAGGGUGCUUGCAUUACUAUGAUUAUCUGGACUGGUUUCUGGCACACAUACAGCAAGGCAGAAUGGAAGGCUUUAGCUAUAGACUUUUCUACUGCAAAAUGAAGAGCAUUCAGAAACAGAAAUAUACAAAGAGUAUAGAUCCUUUAUCCUGUAUCGCUAUC